AAUCCAUGAGCAUAGUCGCUCCCUAACCGAUUAGGUAAACCUAGAAAAACAACCAUAAUUUAUUGUGUCACAUAAUCGAUUAACAAUGAUAUAUAAUCAAUUAAGAGGCGUUAUUAUUGCCUUAAUUGAUUAAAUGAGGAGCCUAAUCGAUUAGACAAUUUAGUUUUACUUUCAUAAUUGAUUAGAAAGCUUCUUAAAUAAUUAAGUAUUUGUCAAGAUUACUU
Molecule: long non-coding RNA, 224 nt
Filed under: Lathyrus oleraceus (garden pea)
Lineage: Eukaryota; Viridiplantae; Streptophyta; Magnoliopsida; Fabales; Fabaceae
Description: Pisum sativum (pea) long non-coding RNA (PSAT_LNC007983)
Source: RNAcentral